Molecule: unclassified non-coding RNA, 419 nt
Filed under: Hevea brasiliensis (rubber tree)
Lineage: Eukaryota; Viridiplantae; Streptophyta; Magnoliopsida; Malpighiales; Euphorbiaceae
Source: RNAcentral
GUUUAUCUAUGCCUUUAUGACAUAAAUCCUUAAUACCAUUAUAGUAUUAUGAGAAAACGGUAGUUGCUAGUAAACUCAAUUCUAUUAAGAUUGUAUAAAUUGCAUGUUUAGAAAAUGUUAUCUAAGGAGGUGACACUUAAGUGAGACCGAUCAGACUCCACCAUCUUUCUUGAGCAUUACUUAGUGUACUUUAUGCAAUUUCAAUAGAUGAUCUUUCGUCUCACACCACAUGAUCUACAUUUUAUCAAAAUAAAAACUAAUAAAAUAUCUUGUUCUGACUAGAACACACGUGGUCUCACCAAGAUUGUUCCUAAGUGAUGUGGGAUCAUAACAUAGUAUAAUGAAAGAGGAAAUAUUUUUUUCAAAAAAAAAACUCCAAUAAAUUUUAAAAAAUAAAAAAAAUUAAAAAUUAAAAAAGA